GAUGCUGCUGCUGAGUUGGAUAAAGCACCACAAUGUGAAAGAAGUAUCAAGUGAUGCACAUUUCUUAAAUUAACAAGUAUAGUGUGCAGAUUUAGUUUGUUGUGAUGGGCUUCUUUGGAAAUUCAUGGUGAGCAGUUACCGCCAAACAUCCAGAAAGGAUAUGCAUAAGUUGCUCUGAAUCAGGUUGUCUCAUUUGUUGUUCCACACUCCCAUAGCCAUCUUCUUGUCCUCACAAACAGAUUUCGUAUUGGAUGCUCUAAAUGAUUCAAAGACGGGUGUUGUAGGGUUUCUCUUCAGUUAGCAGGCCCUGUUCGUUACACGACGUUUAUACAAUUGUCGCUCAGCUAAACAUUAUUAAUCAAUGAAUUGUUUAACGUUACCGGGUCAGCCUCCUUUCCGUUUUCGUAUGCCUAGCGCUACACUAAUGAUGUAUUCAAUGCACGGUCUUAGUCUUUACCAUCGCAACUAACCGCUACAGGCUUUUUUUUUUUUGCUUUGAAUACAUGGGGUAUAGAGAAAUCUGCUAUAGACGCACAUGAAUCGGACAAACCUCAAGUUCAAGAAACGAUUGAAUGUGCUAGGGGUAAUCGACAUGUUUCAGUAAUGCCCACCGGGUGUUUGUUAAUAUAUUUCAAUGAAUUUAGCCAUUAUUGUUUUUCAAAAAGCUAUGAUUAGUUUCUUACAUUAGAUAGCAAAACAUCUAAUCUCAUAGAAUUAUAGAAUUAUGAAUAAAAUGUUGGGAUGCUACAAUUUUUGGGCAGGUUAGUUAUUUAAAAAUACAGAGAUUGAAACAAGAAAUUUUGUUUUAUUCUAUCCUAUCAAAUAUGGCAGAAGAAUCUUUAUUAACAAAGUAAUAAUCUGCCCAAAUUUAUGAGAAAAUUGAAGCGUACAUGAAAAGAUAGUGAAAAUGCACCUUUCUCAUGGGUUUUAAAGUCAAUGACUAAUCGUGUGACUUUUUUUUUAUGUAAUUUUUUUAGGUUGAAAUCUUUUCAUGUUGCAAGGAGAUUGUUUAAAUAUGACACAUUACAAGGUGUUCAGAACGAGUCUUGAGGUUAAUGAACUAGAAAGAACAAAGAAGGAAGGAAAUGAAUAAUAUGUCCUUUGCUUAAUAAUCUUUGAAAUUCAGUUAUUUAUCAUGUAUCUUAAUUUGUAGUGACUAAUGUUUUUUCUUUCUUUUUAAUAUCUUACCAAUGGAAAAAAGUGACAACAUGAACUACAAUACUCAUAGGACGGUAUCUCUGAUGGAAAAAAAAGUGACAGUAUGAAGAAUUCCAAUGCUGCUAAGAUGGUACCUCAGAUUUAGCUUCCUUAUUUUAGAGGUGGUCUUAUGUUAACAAAUGAGUCAAAACCAGACAUUUUAGAUGUGGUCAUUAUUUUAAGAAAUGAGUCAAAUGAAGUAAUAUUAUAUCUUCUAACCAGACAGAU
This 1425-nucleotide long non-coding RNA is filed under the name Helianthus annuus (common sunflower). Its description in RNAcentral is "sRNA HanXRQr2_Chr02g0051031". The record is from RNAcentral. Lineage: Eukaryota; Viridiplantae; Streptophyta; Magnoliopsida; Asterales; Asteraceae.